RNAcentral lists this ribosomal RNA (163 nucleotides) under Rubus fruticosus. RNAcentral's name for it is "Rubus plicatus 5.8S ribosomal RNA". It matches the Rfam family "5.8S ribosomal RNA". Rfam says of the family: 5.8S ribosomal RNA (5.8S rRNA) is a component of the large subunit of the eukaryotic ribosome. It is transcribed by RNA polymerase I as part of the 45S precursor that also contains 18S and 28S rRNA. The record is from RNAcentral. Lineage: Eukaryota; Viridiplantae; Streptophyta; Magnoliopsida; Rosales; Rosaceae.
UAAACGACUCUCGGCAACGAUAUCUCGGCUCUCGCAUCGAUGAAGAACGUAGCGAAAUGCGAUACUUGGUGUGAAUUGCAGAAUCCCGUGAACCAUCGAGUCUUUGAACGCAAGUUGCGCCCGAAGCCAUUAGGCCGAGGGCACGCCUGCCUGGGCGUCACAC